This 30-nucleotide non-coding RNA is filed under the name Homo sapiens (human). The record is from RNAcentral. Lineage: Eukaryota; Metazoa; Chordata; Mammalia; Primates; Hominidae.
UGCUGCCCCUGACUCUAGGGCCGUGUGGUC